GAUGAACGCUGGCGGCGUGCCCAAUACAUGCAAGUCGAACGCUUCACUUCGGUGAAGAGUGGCGAACGGGUGAGUAAUACAUAAGUAACCUGGCAUCUACAGGGGGAUAACUGAUGGAAACGUCAGCUAAGACCGCAUAGGUGUAGAGAUCGCAUGAACUCUAUAUGAAAAGUGCUACGGGACUGGUAGAUGAUGGACUUAUGGCGCAUUAGCUUGUUGGUAGGGAACGGCCUACCAAGGCGACGAUGCGUAGCCGACCUGAGAGGGUGACCGGCCACACUGGGACUGAGACACGGCCCAGACUCCUACGGGAGGCAGCAGUAGGGAAUUUUCGGCAAUGGGGGAAACCCUGACCGAGCAACGCCGCGUGAAGGAAGAAGUAAUUCGUUAUGUAAACUUCUGUCAUAGAGGAAGAACGGUGGAUAUAGGGAAUGAUAUCCAAGUGACGGUACUCUAUAAGAAAGCCACGGCUAACUACGUG
This 481-nucleotide ribosomal RNA is filed under the name uncultured bacterium. Its description in RNAcentral is "partial 16S ribosomal RNA". It matches the Rfam family "Bacterial small subunit ribosomal RNA", at positions 28 to 507 of the family's 1533-position model. The record is from RNAcentral.